This 386-nucleotide transfer-messenger RNA is filed under the name Helicobacter pylori. It matches the Rfam family "transfer-messenger RNA". From Rfam's summary of the family: Bacterial tmRNA, also known as 10Sa RNA or SsrA, is named for its dual tRNA and mRNA-like properties. Its role is to liberate the mRNA from a stalled ribosome. RNAcentral also lists the same sequence under 1 other name. Lineage: Bacteria; Pseudomonadati; Campylobacterota; Epsilonproteobacteria; Campylobacterales; Helicobacteraceae. The record is from RNAcentral.
GGGGCUGACUUGGAUUUCGACAGAUUUCUUGUCGCACAGAUAGCAUGCCAAGUGCUACUUGUAAAACAGCAACAAAAAUAACUGUAAACAACGCAGAUUACGCUCCAGCUUACGCUAAAGCUGCGUGAGUUAAUCUCCUUUUGGAGCUGGACUGAUUAGAAUUUCUAGCGUUUUAAUCACUCCAUAACCUUAAGCUAGACGCUUUUAAAAGGUGGUUCGCCUUUUAAACUAAGAAACAAGAACUCUUGAAACUACCUCAAGGUUUUAGAAAGUUGGACCAGAGCUAGUUUUAAGGCUAAAAAGCUAAUCAAUUUUCUAAGCAUUGUAGAAGUUUGUGUUUAGGACAAGAUUUUUGGACUGGGGUUCGAUUCCCCACAGCUCCACCA